Molecule: long non-coding RNA, 395 nt
Filed under: Gallus gallus (chicken)
Lineage: Eukaryota; Metazoa; Chordata; Aves; Galliformes; Phasianidae
Source: RNAcentral
CGAGAACUGGCAGCAGCUCUCCGGCCACUUCCUUUCCCCGCUGCAGUCUCGCUGUCCCCAAGCUGCUCCUGUUUCAUGACACGAAGGGAGGUGGUCCUCAUCCUGGUGCCCCAACCCUUCCUGUCGCUGCACCCCAGCCAGGGGGUGUCCCUGGCGAACAAUGUCACCCUGCGCUGCCACCUGCCCCGCAUGGAUGCCUGGGUCCAGCUCUGGCACAAUGGAACUCUGAGAUUUAAGAAGGAAAAAAGACAAGGAGCAGGGAUGCAGCUGAGUUCUCCUUUGCUGUCACAAACCUGGAGGACGCCGGGACAUAUCAGUGUCGGUACCAGGUGUCAGAGCCACUGUGGACAUCAAAUCAGAGCGACCCCGUGGAGCUGGUGCUGACAGGUGAGGGC